This 350-nucleotide ribosomal RNA is filed under the name uncultured Coriobacteriales bacterium. RNAcentral describes it as "bacterial SSU rRNA". It matches the Rfam family "Bacterial small subunit ribosomal RNA", at positions 8 to 339 of the family's 1533-position model. Lineage: Bacteria; Bacillati; Actinomycetota; Coriobacteriia; Coriobacteriales. The record is from RNAcentral.
AGUGUUUGAUCCUGGCUCAGGACGAACGCUGGCGGCGUGCCUAACACAUGCAAGUCGAGCGGGGACAUGAGGGAAUAAGCUUCGGCAGAAAGAAUCAUGUUCUAGCGGCGGACGGGUGAGUAACGCGUGAGCAAUCUGUCCCAGACAGGGGGAUAACACUUGGAAACAGGUGCUAAUACCGCAUAAGACCACGAGACGGCAUCGUCUUGUGGUAAAAGGGGCAACUCGGUUUGGGGUGAGCUCGCGUCCGAUUAGCUGGUUGGUGAGGUAACGGCCCACCAAGGCGACGAUCGGUAGCCGACCUGAGAGGGUGAUCGGCCACAUUGGAACUGAGACACGGUCCAAACUCC